This 406-nucleotide ribosomal RNA is filed under the name Candidatus Cardinium sp. Its description in RNAcentral is "bacterial SSU rRNA". It matches the Rfam family "Bacterial small subunit ribosomal RNA", at positions 234 to 637 of the family's 1533-position model. The record is from RNAcentral. Lineage: Bacteria; Pseudomonadati; Bacteroidota; Cytophagia; Cytophagales; Amoebophilaceae.
CGUCCUAUUAGCUAGUUGGUGAGGUAAUGGCUCACCAAGGCUACGAUGGGUAGGGGUUCUUAGUGGAAGGUCCCCCACACUGGCACUGAGAUACGGGCCAGACUCCUACGGGAGGCAGCAGUAGGGAAUAUUGGUCAAUGGGCGCAAGCCUGAACCAGCCAUGCCGCGUGCAGGAUGAAGGCUCUCUGAGUUAUAAACUGCUUUUGUACAGGAGCAAAAAAAUCCCUGCGGGGGUUCUUGAGAGUACUGUAAGAAUAAGCACCGGCUAAUUCCGUGCCAGCAGCCGCGGUAAUACGGGAGGUGCAAGCGUUAUCCGGUUUUAUUGGGUUUAAAGGGUGCGUAGGCGGCUUAUUAAGUCAGUUGUGAAAUCCUAGUGCUUAACGCUAGAACUGCGAUUGAUACUAUU